CAAGAGAGCUUGCUCUCUGGGUGACGAGCGGCGGACGGGUGAGUAAUGUCUGGGAAACUGCCUGAUGGAGGGGGAUAACUACUGGAAACGGUAGCUAAUACCGCAUGACGUCUUCGGACCAAAGUGGGGGACCUUCGGGCCUCACGCCAUCAGAUGUGCCCAGAUGGGAUUAGCUAGUAGGUGGGGUAAUGGCUCACCUAGGCGACGAUCUCUAGCUGGUCUGAGAGGAUGACCAGCCACACUGGAACUGAGACACGGUCCAGACUCCUACGGGAGGCAGCAGUGGGGAAUAUUGCACAAUGGGCGCAAGCCUGAUGCAGCCAUGCCGCGUGUAUGAAGAAGGCCUUCGGGUUGUAAAGUACUUUCAGCGAGGAGGAAGGCAUUAAGGUUAAUAACCUUAGUGAUUGACGUUACUCGCAGAAGAAGCACCGGCUAACUCCGUGCCAGCAGCCGCGGUAAUACGGAGGGUGCAAGCGUUAAUCGGAAUUACUGGGCGUAAAGCGCACGCAGGCGGUUUGUUAAG
This 523-nucleotide ribosomal RNA is filed under the name Hafnia alvei. Its description in RNAcentral is "bacterial SSU rRNA". It matches the Rfam family "Bacterial small subunit ribosomal RNA", at positions 71 to 587 of the family's 1533-position model. The record is from RNAcentral. Lineage: Bacteria; Pseudomonadati; Pseudomonadota; Gammaproteobacteria; Enterobacterales; Hafniaceae.